RNAcentral lists this ribosomal RNA (474 nucleotides) under Veillonella parvula. RNAcentral describes it as "bacterial SSU rRNA". It matches the Rfam family "Bacterial small subunit ribosomal RNA", at positions 28 to 475 of the family's 1533-position model. Lineage: Bacteria; Bacillati; Bacillota; Negativicutes; Veillonellales; Veillonellaceae. The record is from RNAcentral.
GACGAACGCUGGCGGCGUGCUUAACACAUGCAAGUCGAACGAAGAGCGAUGGAAGCUUGCUUCUAUCAAUCUUAGUGGCGAACGGGUGAGUAACGCGUAAUCAACCUGCCCUUCAGAGGGGGACAACAGUUGGAAACGACUGCUAAUACCGCAUACGAUCUAAUCUCGGCAUCGAGGAUAGAUGAAAGGUGGCCUCUACAUGUAAGCUAUCACUGAAGGAGGGGAUUGCGUCUGAUUAGCUAGUUGGAGGGGUAACGGCCCACCAAGGCGAUGAUCAGUAGCCGGUCUGGGAGGAUGAACGGCCACAUUGGGACUGAGACACGGCCCAGACUCCUACGGGAGGCAGCAGUGGGGAAUCUUCCGCAAUGGACGAAAGUCUGACGGAGCAACGCCGCGUGAGUGAUGACGGCCUUCGGGUUGUAAAGCUCUGUUAAUCGGGACGAAAGGCCUUUUUGCGAAUAGUGAGAAGGAUAG